CCUACGGGUGGCAGCAGUGGGGAAUAUUGCACAAUGGGGGAAACCCUGAUGCAGCGACGCCGCGUGAGUGAAGAAGUAUUUCGGUAUGUAAAGCUCUAUCAGCAGGGAAGAAAGACAUGACGGUACCUGACUAAGAAGCCCCGGCUAACUACGUGCCAGCAGCCGCGGUAAUACGUAGGGGGCAAGCGUUAUCCGGAUUUACUGGGUGUAAAGGGAGCGUAGACGGCAGUGCAAGUCUGGAGUGAAAGGCGGGGGCUCAACCCCCGGACUGCUCUGGAAACUGUACGGCUGGAGUGCAGGAGAGGUAAGUGGAAUUCCUAGUGUAGCGGUGAAAUGCGUAGAUAUUAGGAGGAACACCAGUGGCGAAGGCGGCUUACUGGACUGUAACUGACGUUGAGGCUCGAAAGCGUGGGGAGCAAACAGGAUUAGAUACCCCUGUAGUC
This 443-nucleotide ribosomal RNA is filed under the name uncultured bacterium. RNAcentral describes it as "partial 16S ribosomal RNA". It matches the Rfam family "Bacterial small subunit ribosomal RNA", at positions 338 to 795 of the family's 1533-position model. The record is from RNAcentral.